AGUGGCAGUCCCAGAGCUACAAACCCGGCCGCCUGCGCCCGGACGCGCGCUGUGAUGGCGGCUGCUGGGGCCCGGGGAGGCGGCGGCGCCGGCGCCGCUGGGGCCCGGGGAGGCGGCGGCGCCGGCGCCGGCACCGGCGGCUCGGGGUCCAGCUCUGGUUCCAGCACCUCCCGAGGUUUUUAUUUCAACACAGUGCUUUCACUGGCCCGCUCCCUGGCUGUGCAGAGACCUGCAUCCUUAGAGAAGGUUCAAAAGCUGCUGUGCAUGUGCCCAGUAGAUUUUCAUGGAAUCUUCCAGCUAGAUGAAAGACGGAGAGAUGCAGUGAUUGCUCUGGGCAUUUUUCUCAUUGAGUCUGAUCUUCAGCACAAAGAUUGUAUUGUUCCUUAUCUUCUUCGACUUCUCAGGGGUCUUCCAAAAGUCUAUUGGGUAGAAGAAAGCACAGCUCGGAAAGGCAGAGGUAACCUCCCGGUUGCAGAAAGCUUCAGCUUCUGCCUGGUGACCUUGCUGUCUGAUGUGGCUUGCAGGGACCCCUCACUUAGGGAUGAGAUUUUAGAGGCACUUUUGCAGGUUUUACAUGUCCUUCUGGGAAUGUGCCAGGCCCUGGAGAUUCAAGAGAAAGAAUACCUUUGCAAGUAUGCAAUCCCAUGCCUGAUAGGGAUCUCGAGAUCUUUUGGACGUUACAGCAAUUCAGAAGAAUCUCUCCUCUCAAAGCUUUUUCCCAAAGUCCCUCCUCAUUCCCUGAGAAUCCCCGAAGAGCUAGAAGGUGUCCGAAGGCGUUCCUUUAAUGACUUCCGCUCCAUCCUGCCCAGCAACCUGCUGACUGUCUGUCAGGAGGGCACACUGAAGAGGAAAACCAGCAGUGUGUCCAGCAUCUCUCAGGUUAGCCCAGAACGUGGCAUGCCCCCUCCCAGCUCCCCUGGAGGAUCUGCUUUUCACUAUUUUGAAGCCUCUUGCCUGCCUGAUGGAACCACCUUGGAGCCCGAAUACUACUUCUCUACCAUCAGCUCCAGUUUUUCUGUCUCUCCCCUGUUCAAUGGUAUCACCUAUAAGGAGUUCUAUAUUCCACUGGAAAUGCUUCGAGAACUCUUAAACUUGGUAAAGAAGAUUGUUGAGGAGCCUGUUCUCAAGUCCUUAGAUGCAGCUGUAGCCAGAGUGAUGGAGGCCAAUCCCAGUGCUGACCUAUACUACACGACCUUCAGUGAUCCCGUCUACCUGACCAUGUUCAAGAUGCUUCGAGACACUCUGUACUAUAUGAAAGACUUACCCACCUCCUUUGUGAAAGAGAUCCAUGAUUUUGUGUUGGAGCAGUUCAACAUGAGCCAAGGGGAACUCCAAAAGAUUCUCCAUGAUGCAGACAGGAUCCACAGUGAGAUGAGCCCACUCAAACUGCGCUGCCAAGCAAAUGCUGCCUGCGUAGACCUCAUGGUGUGGGCUGUGAAGGAUGAGCAGGGUGCAGAAAACCUUUGCAUCAAGCUGUCUGAAAAGCUGCAGUCCAAGACAUCCAGCAAGGUCAUCAUCGCCCAUUUGCCCUUGCUGAUCUGCUGCCUACAGGGUCUGGGCCGCCUAUGUGAACGGUUCCCGGUGGUGGUCCACUCAGUGACACCAUCUUUGAGAGACUUUCUGGUGAUUCCAUCCCCAGUGCUGGUGAAGCUCUAUAAGUACCACAGUCAGUACCACACAGUUGCUGGCAGUGAUAUAAAAAUUAGUGUCACCAAUGAGCAUUCUGAGUCAACUCUGAAUGUCUUGCCCGGCAAGAAGAACCAGCCAUCCAUGUAUGAGCAGCUCCGGGACAUCGCCAUUGACAACAUCUGCAGGUGCCUGAAGGCCGGCCUCACCGUGGACCCUGUGAUCGUGGAGGCCUUCCUGGCCAGCCUCUCCAACCGGCUCUAUAUCUCCCAGGAGAGCGAUAAGGAUGCUCACUUGAUUCCUGACCAUACCAUUCGUGCCUUGGGACACAUUGCAGUGGCUCUGAGGGAUACCCCAAAGGUCAUGGAGCCAAUUCUGCAGAUCCUGCAGCAGAAAUUUUGCCAGCCCCCCUCACCCCUCGAUGUGCUCAUCAUCGACCAGCUGGGCUGCCUGGUUAUCACUGGAAAUCAAUACAUUUAUCAGGAAGUGUGGAAUCUCUUCCAACAAAUCAGUGUGAAGGCCAGUUCAGUUGUAUAUUCAGCCACCAAAGACUACAAAGACCAUGGCUACAGGCACUGCUCCCUCGCAGUCAUCAAUGCCCUGGCCAACAUCGCAGCCAACAUUCAGGAGGAGCACCUUGUGGAUGAGCUGUUGAUGAACCUGCUGGAACUGUUUGUGCAGCUGGGGCUGGAGGGGAAGAGAGCCAGUGAGAGGGCCAGCGAGAAGGGGCCCGCCCUGAAGGCUUCCAGCAGUGCAGGGAAUUUGGGAGUGCUCAUUCCUGUAAUAGCCGUGCUCACCCGACGAUUGCCACCCAUCAAAGAAGCUAAACCUAGGCUACAAAAGCUUUUCCGAGACUUCUGGCUCUACUCUGUGCUAAUGGGAUUCGCUGUGGAAGGCUCAGGGCUCUGGCCGGAAGAGUGGUAUGAAGGAGUCUGUGAAAUAGCAACCAAGUCACCUCUGCUUACCUUUCCCAGCAAAGAGCCUCUUCGAUCAGUCCUCCAGUACAACUCAGCCAUGAAAAAUGAUACAGUGACCCCGGCUGAGCUGAAUGAGCUCCGAAGUACCAUCAUCAACUUGCUAGAUCCUCCUCCUGAGGUGUCUGCCCUCAUCAACAAGCUGGACUUUGCCAUGUCCACCUAUCUCUUGUCUGUGUAUCGGCUGGAAUACAUGAGGGUGCUGCGUUCUACAGAUCCAGAUCGCUUCCAGGUAAUGUUCUGCUACUUCGAGGAUAAAGCUAUUCAGAAAGACAAAUCUGGGAUGAUGCAGUGUGUCAUCGCUGUUGCUGACAAAGUAUUUGAUGCCUUCCUGAACAUGAUGGCAGAAAAAGCCAAGACCAAGGAGAAUGAAGAGGAGUUGGAGCGGCAUGCCCAGUUUCUGCUGGUGAACUUCAACCACAUUCACAAGAGGAUACGCAGAGUGGCUGACAAGUACCUGUCUGGUCUGGUGGAUAAGUUUCCACACUUGCUCUGGAGUGGGACUGUGCUGAAGACCAUGUUGGACAUUCUGCAGACCCUGUCACUAUCACUAAGUGCUGAUAUUCACAAGGACCAACCUUAUUAUGACAUUCCUGACGCCCCCUAUCGGAUCACGGUUCCUGACACGUAUGAAGCCCGGGAGAGCAUCGUGAAAGACUUUGCUGCACGCUGUGGGAUGAUCCUGCAGGAAGCCAUGAAGUGGGCACCCACGGUCACUAAGUCCCACCUGCAGGAAUAUCUGAACAAGCAUCAGAACUGGGUGUCAGGACUGUCCCAGCACACGGGAUUGGCCAUGGCCACUGAGAGCAUCCUUCACUUUGCCGGCUACAACAAGCAGAACACAACUCUUGGGGUAACUCAGCUCACUGAGCGCCCGGCCUGUGUGAAGAAAGACUACUCCAACUUCAUGGCAUCCUUGAAUUUGCGCAACCGCUAUGCCGGCGAGGUGCACGGGAUGAUUCGGUUCUCAGGUGCCACAGGCCAGAUGUCCGACCUGAACAAAAUGAUGGUCCAGGAUCUGAUUACAGCUCUGGACCACAGUCAUCCUCAGCACUAUACCCAAGCCAUGUUCAAAUUGACGGCCAUGCUCAUUAGCAGCAAAGAUUGUGACCCACAGCUCCUUCAUCAUCUGUGUUGGGGUCCCCUCCGGAUGUUCAACGAGCAUGGCAUGGAGACUGCACUAGCCUGCUGGGAGUGGCUGCUGGCUGGCAAGAAUGGAGUGGAAGUGCCGUUCAUGCGGGAGAUGGCAGGAGCCUGGCACAUGACAGUGGAGCAGAAGUUCGGCCUCUUCUCUGCAGAAACAAAGGAAGCAGAUCCCCUGGCAGCGUCAGAAGCAAGUCAGCCACGACCCUGUCCCCCUGAAGUGACACCUCACUACAUCUGGAUUGAUUUCCUGGUGCAGCGGUUUGAGAUUGCCAAGUACUGUAGCUCUGACCAGGUGGAGAUCUUCUCAAGCCUGCUGCAGCGCUCCAUGUCCCUCCACAUCGGUGGAGCCAGGGGGAGCAUGAACAGGCAUGUGGCAGCCAUUGGACCACGUUUCAAACUGCUGACCCUGGGGCUGUCCCUCCUACACGCUGAUGUGGUUCCAAAUGCAACCAUUCGAAACGUGCUUCGAGAGAAGAUCUACUCAACAGCCUUUGACUAUUUCAGUUGUCCACCAAAGUUCCCUACUCAAGGAGAAAAGAGGCUGCGUGAAGAUAUAAGCAUCAUGAUUAAGUUUUGGACUGCCAUGUUCUCAGAUAAGAAGUACCUGACUGCCAGCCAACUCGUUCCCCCAGAUAACCAGGACACCCGAAGCAACUUGGAUAUAACUGUGGGCUCUCGACAACAGGCUACACAGGGAUGGAUCAACACAUACCCCCUCUCCAGUGGCAUGUCAACUAUCUCCAAAAAAUCAGGCAUGUCUAAGAAAACCAACCGAGGUUCCCAGCUGCACAAGUACUACAUGAAGCGUAGGACGCUGCUGCUGUCACUGUUGGCCACUGAGAUCGAGCGCCUCAUCACUUGGUACAACCCGCUGUCAGCCCCAGAGCUAGAGCUGGACCAGGCAGGUGAGAACAGUGUUGCCAACUGGAGGUCCAAGUAUAUCAGCCUGAGUGAGAAGCAGUGGAAGGACAACGUGAACCUUGCCUGGACCAUCUCUCCAUACCUCGCUGUGCAGCUGCCAGCCAGGUUCAAGAAUACAGAAGCCAUUGGAAAUGAAGUGACCCGUCUCGUUCGCCUGGACCCAGGAGCUGUUAGUGAUGUCCCUGAAGCUAUCAAGUUCCUUGUCACCUGGCACACCAUCGAUGCUGAUGCUCCAGAGCUUAGCCAUGUGUUAUGCUGGGCACCCACGGACCCGCCCACGGGCCUCUCCUACUUCUCCAGCAUGUACCCCCCACACCCUCUCACUGCACAGUAUGGGGUGAAAGUCCUGCGGUCCUUCCCUCCGGAUGCCAUUCUGUUCUACAUCCCCCAGAUUGUGCAGGCCCUCAGAUAUGACAAGAUGGGCUAUGUGCGCGAGUACAUUCUCUGGGCUGCAGCCAAAUCCCAGCUUCUGGCACACCAGUUUAUUUGGAAUAUGAAAACUAACAUCUACCUUGAUGAAGAAGGGCACCAGAAAGACCCUGACAUUGGUGACCUUCUGGAGCAGUUAGUAGAAGAAAUCACAGGGUCUCUAUCAGGCCCAGCCAAAGAUUUCUAUCAACGGGAAUUUGAUUUCUUUAACAAGAUCACCAACGUGUCAGCCAUCAUCAAGCCCUACCCUAAAGGCGAUGAAAGAAAGAAGGCUUGUCUGUCAGCCCUGUCUGAAGUGAAGGUGCAGCCUGGCUGCUACCUGCCCAGCAACCCUGAAGCAAUUGUGCUAGACAUUGACUACAAGUCAGGGACACCAAUGCAGAGUGCUGCAAAAGCGCCGUAUCUUGCCAAGUUUAAGGUGAAGCGAUGCGGAGUGAGUGAACUUGAAAAAGAAGGUCUGCAGUGCCGCUCAGACACAGAGGAUGAGUGCCGCAGGCAAGAGGCUGAUGGCAAGAAGAUCUGCUGGCAAGCAGCCAUCUUCAAAGUGGGGGAUGACUGCCGACAGGACAUGCUAGCCCUGCAGAUCAUCGACCUUUUCAAGAACAUCUUCCAGCUGGUUGGCCUGGACCUCUUCGUUUUUCCCUAUCGGGUAGUGGCUACUGCCCCUGGGUGUGGGGUGAUUGAGUGCAUUCCAGACUGUACCUCCCGAGACCAGCUAGGCCGCCAGACUGACUUCGGCAUGUAUGACUACUUUACACGCCAGUAUGGGGACGAGUCUACCUUGGCCUUCCAGCAGGCACGCUACAACUUUAUCAGAAGCAUGGCGGCCUACAGCCUCCUGCUGUUCCUGCUGCAGAUCAAGGACAGGCACAACGGCAACAUCAUGCUGGACAAGAAGGGACACAUCAUCCACAUAGACUUUGGCUUCAUGUUUGAAAGCUCACCGGGUGGCAACCUUGGCUGGGAGCCAGACAUCAAGCUGACAGACGAGAUGGUGAUGAUUAUGGGGGGCAAGAUGGAAGCCACACCCUUCAAGUGGUUCAUGGAGAUGUGCGUCCGAGGUUAUCUGGCUGUGCGCCCCUAUAUGGAUGCAGUCGUCUCCCUGGUUACACUCAUGUUGGACACAGGCCUGCCCUGUUUCCGUGGCCAGACAAUCAAACUUUUGAAACACAGGUUCAGCCCGAACAUGACAGAGCGGGAGGCUGCAAAUUUUAUCAUGAAGAUCAUCCAAAACUGUUUCCUCAGCAACAGGAGCCGGACCUACGACAUGAUCCAGUACUACCAGAAUGAUAUCCCCUACUGAGGAGACUGUACCUGAAGCCUUGAGUGUCACAGAGCAGCUUGUACUGUCACCAUAAGCCUGGGUGUGGAGGUGACAGGCACAUGGAACUUGGAUGCACAGACAGGCACCGCAGAAAACAAAGGAGACAGAGAUGUAGGCGGCCGAAGCCAGCAUGGUGCGUUCUAAGCGGGCAGCAGCCCGCGAGCACGUAGCUCAAGCAAAGGCGACAGCGUGUAGCGAAGCCGGCGGAAGACCGCGUCGGAGCCGAGACUCUGGAGCCCUGGGCCGAUGGUGUCAGGUCGUGCCAACACCAAGUAGAUCAGCGGCAGCACCAGGAAACCCAGCGGGAGCAGCAGCAGUGUCUGCAGUGCGCUCAGCGCCCACAGCCUGCAGAACCACCAACCGACAGGUGGGUGGUGGCUCUGGGACCCGGAAUCCGGACCUGCCCCUCACCCACGCGCCACUCACCUGAGGCUCCCCGCGCCCGCACCCCCGAACAGCCGCUUUUCCUGCAGAGAAAGGGCUGCAUCUAGCUUUCUGGGCAGCCGCUAGGCUCUAGCCAUCGUCACCAGCAGGUCCCAGCUCCAGCCUGCGCUCCCCAGCCCACGCUCACGCAGUCAGCCCUGGCCACCUCCUCCAUAAGUGAGCCCGAGCAGUCCUGCACUCGACGAGGCUGUGAGUUCCACCUACAAGACAGGCGAAGCUGUGAGUUCCACCAGGCCGGGCCUAGCGCCUACCGAUGCCCUUCAAGUUUCAGUCCUUACGGUUCCGAGCCACUGCGCGUAGCCUCCAGCGCAGCUGCUGCUUCCAUCACCUUCCCCUGCAGCUCCUGAAGGAUGAUGGCAACAGGGACUCAGGGCAGAGGGUGAGCUAUGUCUCGAGUCAGGGAGUAAAGAAAAAAGGGUGGAGGCCACAGGACAUUUGGAAGAGAAUGGCUGUCAGAAUAGAGAGGCCGCACCUGCAGGACUCCACUCUGCUCCUGGAAGCUGGCCCAGGCCUCUUCUGUCCGCUGCGUACCCUAGAAGCCAGGGAUUGGUAUGAGCGUCGCGAGGACAAGCCCUCCCCACACGCCCUCCCCUGAGAGUCCAGCGCCAGACGUACCUGCCGCAGGUCCUCGGCCUGCAUGCUGAAUUUGGCCUCCGCCAGCUCCAGAUGUUUCUUCCGGAGGAUUCAAGUGAUGUCAAGAACCUGCAGGCCUCGCACACCGCUCGGUCCCUGGCCUUCAAGGCCCAUACUCUGCCCACGUGUGCGCGCAGCUCUGCCCACAGCCAUGCUCCGCCCACAGCCCCGCCCUGGUCCCACCCAAGUACCUGCAGCGCCACAAGCUGAGUUCCGAGUUGCUGCUCUGCUCGCUGUUGACUCAGCUGUUCCCCUCCAUAGUAGAAAAGCUGGGGACCAAACUCAUGAGAACCUGACUCAAGGGACUUGGGGACGCGUACGUGACCUGAGACAGCGCACGUACCUGGCUGGACAGUUCCUCCCACUGUUCCUGCAGCUUCCGAUUGUGUUGCUCCUGAAGACAGGGUCCAGGCUGUCUAGGCCUCUCCUCCAGCCUAGCCACCCCGGGCCCCACCUCUCCCGCUUGCCCGCACCAGGUCCUGCCGGUGCUGCUCCGCAGCCUCCAGCAGCCCACGAGCCCGUUCCGCACGCUCCCGCGCCGCCUCUCGUGCCUCCCCUCGAAUAGCUCGGGAUGUUUGACUUCGUCUUCGCUGCAGGCUACACGGCAGGGAAAAUUGGUCUGGGGUGAAACCAGAGCUCAGGAUCUUUUGGGAUGGAGCCACCACCAGCCUGAGAGUUCUAGACUGAAGCCCCACUGCCUGGAACGAAGGCUGCCAACAAGCCUGCCCCGGGGUCCCGGUGCCCUCGCACCUGCGCUCUCGCUCCCGCAGCUCGUCCAAGCGCCCGGUGAGGCUCUCGCUCUCGGCUUCCAGCCCACGCACCAGCUCCUCCAGCUCCUGCUUCCGCAGGCGGCCAUCGCGGUUGUCCUUCUGCAGCUGCAGCAGCUGCUCCUGCGGCUCAGCCAUGGCCCCAGCGCUCUGCCAGGACCUCCGCUGCCUGGAUGCCCUGGUGGCCUGCGUCACAAUAGGCACCAGGGGGCGCCGGAGCCCGACUGAGGCGGAUCACACUUUACCAAUUUGCCCACAUCUAUAAUUCUAUCUCCUCGGGGUGUAGGGGACAUGGAGAUCAGGAAUUCAAGGUCAUCCUUUGCUACAUACCUUGUUUGAAGCUAGCCAAAGCCACAUGGGAAUCUGUCUCAAAAAAAAAAAAAAACAGUAAAAAUAUCACAGUCCCAAUCUGAUUGGUAAAAAGUUACUAAUGUUCUAAAGAAAGGCUGUACUUGAUGGUUCAUGCCUUGUGAUCCCAGAAUACCAGAGGCUGCGGUAAGAUCACCUAGAGUUCAAGGUCAGCCUAGCUGUAUAACAAGAAGACCCUAACUCAGAAAAAAAAACGAGGACAGUUGAACUAUCACAGUUACCACAGUAACUGUAAUUACAGGCUAAAUCAGGUGCGCCUCACCUUAGAUUUUGAGUGACCAAGCAGGAAGUGCUAAAAUUUUGAGAAAAAAAGUUUAAAAUUAAGAUUUAAUUUUUUUCUCCUGCUUGUGUUGCAAUGAUCAUAACUUUGGUAUGAUCUCAGUAGCUGGACUUUCCCCUAGUACAGCGUCGGGCUGAGUAGGUGAAGGGCGACUGGGUGCUCCACAGGUGUGACGUUCUCUUUUUUCUGUGUGCCUGCCUCAGGAGGACAUCAGAUCCCUUGAGGCUGGAAUAGUUGUAAUCCAGCUAUGUGGAUUAGGGAAACUAAAGUCAUCCCUCUGGAAGAGCAGCAAGUACUCUUUUUUUAAUUUAUUUAUUCAUUUAUUAUAUAUGAGUACACUGUAGCUGUCUUCAGACACACCAGAAGAGGGCAUCAGAUCCCUUACAGAUGGUUGUGGGUCACCAUGUGGUUGUUGGGAUUUGAACUCAGGACCUCUGGAAGAGCAGUCGGGUGCUCUUAACCACUGAGCCAUCUCUCCAGCCCGCAGCAAGUACUCUUAACCACACACUGUGACUUUUCACAUGCCAUGGUGUUAUAAUCUCUCUAGAGAGUUUAAGAAGCUAAUCUAGGGGUUUAGCUCAGCAGUAGAGCGCUUGCCUAGCUAGCGCAAGGCCCUGGGUUCGGUCCCUAGCUCCGGGGGGGGGGGGGGGGGGGGAUAUUUCAUAAUUUGGAGGAUAUGCUUUCCCGAGCUUCUUCAUUAGGGAGGCUGAGGCAGGAAUCCCACCGCAAAUUCGAAGCCAACCUGUGCUACAUAGUGAGACUUUGUCUCAAACAACAACCCAGCCCCGCAAAAAAGAACCCAGUGAGUUGACUUAUUUAUUACUUUUUUGUUACGAGUGAGCUGGGAUAUUGGUCAGUAGAAUCCCUGCACACACGAGGGUCAAUUCCCAGUAUCACACACAAAGCCAUCAGUUAUUAUAGGAAGGGCUGUGGGGUUUGAUAGCUGGGACUCUUCAUUGCUGACAGCACCACUCAGCUUUCCAGACGCCAGUGCUGCCUCGUCUCAUCUAUACAAAGAGUUCAAAGCUCCAGGUCCCUGAAACCCUUCUGGCCCCAGUAACUUGGGAGAAAGUGUUGAACAUUUGAAUUUUGUAUUUGCUGGGGAUGGAGGCAAGCCUCCCAGACAAGUCUUCUCCCUCUGAGACUUGUACCUCUAAGCUUCCUUCUCUGUGCCCUUUCUUUUCACAGGGAGUUCCCAGGAGACUCCCUCAGCCGCGCCCACUCUGCUUUCCUUUCCUCCCCUCAGCCUUUGACCGGCUCCCUUCACCAUCCACCCAGCACACCUGCAGCCUCAAUACUUACCGAGGUUUGCUAAUCUAGGGUUCUUUUUUCUUUUGUUUGAUUUUGUUUUCUUUUAUUACCUUGGAGACAUUGUCUCAUGUUGCUCAUACUGGCCUGAAACUCAACUGUGUAGCCAAGGAUGGCUUGGGGUCCCUUACUCUCUAUCUCCACUGCUGAGCACUGAGAUCACGGGACGCACCUCUCGGGCUGGCCUUUAUCCUAUGGUCAAAUGUGUUGCUUUUAAAAUAAAACAAAAAAUGAGGUUCUUGCUAAGUAACCUUGGCUACCCUCUAGCCCAGGUUGGCCUCCAAAUUGUGUCAA
This is an RNA transcript of Rattus norvegicus (Norway rat), 10515 nucleotides long. It is a transcript of the gene named phosphatidylinositol 4-kinase alpha, with no coding region annotated. Lineage: Eukaryota; Metazoa; Chordata; Mammalia; Rodentia; Muridae. The record is from RefSeq and is marked validated. The transcript has 56 exons.